GAUCUCAAAGGAUGAACAACAACGUAUUAUUGAUAAAUACUUGAAAAUGGUUUGCAGUUGCAACUUACAAGUAGUAGGUAGAGACAUGUAUAGUGGGCGCAUUGUGAACAAAGCAUCCACCACCGAAAGAAGACAUUUUCCUUAAAAGUUUAUGUCCCUCAUUUGCUUUUCUUUUUUUUUUUCUUUUUCCCACGAAAGAGACGAGUUCGUUAUAUAGCGUCCAUUCAAAGCUACCGAAAGCCAUAAACCAAGUAACUAUAUAAGUUUUGUUUCCAGCCAUAUAUAUAUGUAGUAGCAGUACAGUAUCUUUUGCAAACAUAUGAUAUAUUUAAAAUAUGAUUUGUUUAGUGGAAAUUGCUGAAUAAGAACACUUGGUAGACUUAAACCUUUAUUUCGAAUGCAAGUUGCGAGUUGGAUGAACUAACACUGAUAGACAGAACUUUUCG
RNAcentral lists this long non-coding RNA (446 nucleotides) under Capsella rubella. RNAcentral's name for it is "long non-coding RNA (CRUB_LNC002883)". Lineage: Eukaryota; Viridiplantae; Streptophyta; Magnoliopsida; Brassicales; Brassicaceae. The record is from RNAcentral.